RNAcentral lists this long non-coding RNA (549 nucleotides) under Arabidopsis lyrata. Its description in RNAcentral is "long non-coding RNA (ALYR_LNC002093)". The record is from RNAcentral. Lineage: Eukaryota; Viridiplantae; Streptophyta; Magnoliopsida; Brassicales; Brassicaceae.
CUAAACCAGAAUCACGUAAAUUAAUUUACCAAGACUACAUUUGAUUUCGCUUUACACUCAACCGGUAAUAGAUAAAUUCAACUAAACCGGAUUGUUAAUAUUUGGUGAACUCGACGAAGGAACUCGCCCGAUAACGACGGAGCGAUUGCGAUCACCGUCAGUCUCGUCGAAGUGUCUGUCGGUGGAGACUUCCGAAAUCAAGCAGUUCCAGGUGAUUUCAUUUGUGCUUAGUUUCUCUUGAUUUCAUUAGCAUGUAAAUAUGCUCUUUCGGAUUUUGAAACAACUCGGAUUGAUCUUCUAGGGUUUAGGUCCUAGAACUAGACCUUAAGACAGAUUCUCUCUCUCUGGGUUUGCUUUGUUUAAUCAUUAAAUAUUUUUGUGGGCAAUGAUUGAAAAUAUUCAUCUGUUGCUGUCUUUGGUCCAUGUUGACGUUUUCCUCUUCCACUACUUGUGCAGCUUGAGGGACGUUGACCUUGGCUGAGAUUGAAAAUGAAAUAGGAAAAGCUGGUGAAGAGAGUAUCUUUGAUAUAUAUGAUAUGCUUGAUUACA